CCUACGGGAGGCCGCAGUGGGGAAUAUUGCACAAUGGGGGGAACCCUUAUGCAGCGACGCCGCGUGAGUGAAGAAGUAUUUCGGUAUGUAAAGCUCUAUCAGCAUGGAAGAAAAUGACGGUACCUGUCUCAGAAGCCCCGGCUAACUACGUGCCAGCAGCCGCGGUCAUACGUAGGGGGCAAGCGUUAUCCGGAUUUACUGGGUGUAAAGGGAGCGCAGACGGCUGUGCAAGUCUGUAGUGAAAGGCGGGGGCCCAACCCCCGAACUGCUCUGGAAACUGUGAAGCUGGAGGGCAGGAGAGGUAAGCGGAAUUCCUAGGGUAGCGGUGAAAUGCGUAGAGAUGAGGAGGAACACCAGUGGCGAAGGCGGCUUACUGGACUGCAACUGACGUUGAGGCUCGAAAGCGUGGGGAGCAAACAGGAUUAGAUACCCGAGUAGUC
Molecule: ribosomal RNA, 440 nt
Filed under: uncultured bacterium
Lineage: Bacteria
Description: partial 16S ribosomal RNA
Rfam family: Bacterial small subunit ribosomal RNA
Source: RNAcentral